CUGCAGUGAUGAGCAUUUGAGGUGGCUGAUCUGGUAUUGCUUUUCCUCCGGGGAGAGCUCUGACCAGGGAAUGAUCUCAUCUUAAUCUUCUCUCUGAGCAG
RNAcentral lists this small nucleolar RNA (101 nucleotides) under Sparus aurata (gilthead seabream). RNAcentral's name for it is "Z30 small nucleolar RNA (ENSSAUG00010025849.1)". It matches the Rfam family "Z30 small nucleolar RNA". From Rfam's summary of the family: Z30 belongs to the C/D class of snoRNA which contain the C (UGAUGA) and D (CUGA) box motifs. Most of the members of the box C/D family function in directing site-specific 2'-O-methylation of substrate RNAs. The record is from Rfam by way of RNAcentral. Lineage: Eukaryota; Metazoa; Chordata; Actinopteri; Spariformes; Sparidae.